UCCAGAGGUCCCAAGCGUUGUCCGGAAUCAUUGGGCGUAAAGCGCGUGUAGGCGGCUUGGUAAGUCCGCUCUGAAAGCCCGGGGCUCAACCCCGGGAGGCGGGUGGAUACUGUCAAGCUCGAGUCCGGAAGAGGCGAGUGGAAUUCCUGGUGUAGCGGUGAAAUGCGCAGAUAUCAGGAAGAACACCCGUGGCGAAGGCGGCUCUCUGGGACGGUACUGACGCUGAGACGCGAAAGCGUGGGGAGCGAACAGG
This 253-nucleotide ribosomal RNA is filed under the name uncultured bacterium. RNAcentral describes it as "partial 16S ribosomal RNA". It matches the Rfam family "Bacterial small subunit ribosomal RNA", at positions 524 to 776 of the family's 1533-position model. The record is from RNAcentral.